AUUCUUCAGCUUCCUGGGUGUUAAGAAGCAGUAGUGACUGUGGCAGCUUCUUGAUCAAACUCAGAAAUCCCUAGAUCACAGAUUAAGGUGUCCACAUUCAGGCCAUGGCCUUGGUGCCAGGCCUAGCCUGGCUCCAGUGGCCUCAGACCCAGCAGCUUCCUUGGUAGACUGGCCCAGUAGAGUUGUUCACUCCAAGAUGUCCAGCCCAGAGCUGUUUCUCCAGGCCUUCCACCGAUUUGCCACAUAAAUAUAAGAAAAUGAAAUUAUAUGGAGGAUGGCCGUGCGUUCUAGGAUGAGAAGAUAAGAAGAGUACAAUUUAAAAACAAAAGUCUAAGGAGUAAUUCAUGUCUAAACUUAUUGAAGUUCAUAAAUAAUUUGUCCUGAUUUUCAGAAGAAAGAGAGAACUUCUGAACAUAACCACACAGGACCUACAAAAAGAUAGCUGCACAAAAACUGGUUAAUAAUGUUGUGAGCUGCCAUGAUAGCAUCGGAGGACUAGAAAGAAUGACAAACUGCUCCUACCAAGUAACGAGUCUUCUGCUCCUUUCUUUUAGUUUCCCUGCCUCCUGCCUGGAACCUGGAAGACCCAGAGAAGGGUGGGGAGUAAAGAACAGACCAGCCUUCUCCGCACUGCAGUUUGUUGAGGCAUUGAUCUGGCCAAAGCUGGAUGUAUGGAGGCAGAAAGUGUUCAUUCAUUUUUUAAAUUUUUCAUUUCAGAAUUAUUGCUUGUCUGCUAUGGACCUAACACUGUUCUAAACAUUGGGGCUGGUAAUCCUCCAUUAUCUGUGGGAGAUACAUUCCAAGAUCCACAGUGGAUGCUUGAAACUGAGGAUAGUAUAAAACUCUAUGUAUACUAUGUUUUUUCCUACACAUACAUACAUACUAUGAUAAAGUUUCAUUUAUAAAUUAGGUACAGUAAGGGAUUAACAACAAUGAAUAAUAAUAAAAUAGAACAAUUAUAAAAAUAGACUGUAAUAAAAGGUGAAUAUGGUC
RNAcentral lists this long non-coding RNA (993 nucleotides) under Homo sapiens (human). Its description in RNAcentral is "HSALNT0311505". The record is from RNAcentral. Lineage: Eukaryota; Metazoa; Chordata; Mammalia; Primates; Hominidae.